RNAcentral lists this ribosomal RNA (491 nucleotides) under uncultured bacterium. RNAcentral describes it as "partial 16S ribosomal RNA". It matches the Rfam family "Bacterial small subunit ribosomal RNA", at positions 29 to 506 of the family's 1533-position model. The record is from RNAcentral.
AGUGAACGCUGGCGGUAGGCCUAACACAUGCAAGUCGAACGGCAGCACAGUAAGAGCUUGCUCUUACGGGUGGCGAGUGGCGGACGGGUGAGGAAUACAUCGGAAUCUACUUUUUCGUGGGGGAUAACGUAGGGAAACUCACGCUAAUACCGCAUACGACCUACGGGUGAAAGCAGGGGAUCUUCGGACCUUGCGCGAUUGAAUGAGCCGAUGUCGGAUUAGCUAGUUGGCGGGGUAAAGGCCCACCAAGGCGACGAUCCGUAGCUGGUCUGAGAGGAUGAUCAGCCACACUGGAACUGAGACACGGUCCAGACUCCUACGGGAGGCAGCAGUGGGGAAUAUUGGACAAUGGGCGCAAGCCUGAUCCAGCCAUACCGCGUGGGUGAAGAAGGCCUUCGGGUUGUAAAGCCCUUUUGUUGGGAAAGAAAAGCAGCAGGUUAAUACCCCGCUGUUCUGACGGGACCCAAAGAAUAAGCACCGGCUAACUUCGU